Molecule: long non-coding RNA, 1691 nt
Organism: Ananas comosus (pineapple)
Lineage: Eukaryota; Viridiplantae; Streptophyta; Magnoliopsida; Poales; Bromeliaceae
Exons: 3
Source: RefSeq, a predicted model, not a curated record
CGACGCGGCGUUGCCCCCUUCGCUGUCCUUUCGUCCUUUCCGCCUUCACUCCGCAGCCGUGCUGUCGUGGGUAUGGCGCCUCUCCUCCUUCUCUCGUCCUGUUGCCUGAAAGGGCAACCCUAACGGAGCCCUCCCCGCGUUUCGCGGUGGUGAUGGGAUUGGCCACCAUCAUCCCUCUCUACUCGCCCUCUCUACUCGCUUCUGAGAAAUAGGCUUACCUCAGUAUGUACGGCCAUUUCAUAGAGCUUCUCCUCCACUCCCCUGUAUUCAUCCGAGGCCCCGUUCUAUAAAUACGGUUGUCUCUUCACAGGAUAAACUCAGCGCCCUCUGCACUUUGGACUCCCAGGUAAAUCUGAUUAAUACCUUCCGAAUACACUUUCGUGGUAAUUACAGGGCAGCAGCUUUGCAUCCCGUGGCUUCCUCUCUUCCUCCUUUUUGGUGCUGGUACUUUAUUCCCUCCUUUGUUUACUAGGCUCCACCUUCUUACACAUUGCUCUGUGUUGUUGGUGUUCCUUAAUUUCACCAUAUUGUUUUCCUGUACGAUGGCUCCCCUGGAUUGAUUUUUCUCCCUGCUUCUUAUGUUUUGCUAUUGGAUACAUGCAACUUCUUAACUAAUAUCAUUAUUUUUUUAUACUAUGCUUUUGCCUGUAAGUGUUUCUUACAUCUUUUUUCCAUACUGAAUUUGCAUCGACUUCUCCUCUAUUUUUUUGCUUCUUUUUUCAUACUGAAUGUCCAUACUGAAUUUUCAUACUUUCUCCAUACUGAAUUUGCAUCCUCCCUUUUCCUUCCUAUUUUUUUGCUUAUUUUUACCUGAGCUACCAAGAUAUAGGCGCUUCUUAAAUUUCUAAUUUCCCUGUUGGUUUGAUAUAUGGUUUUUCUCUGAAUUUCACAUUAUCAAUUUGCAGGUUUUUACAUGCUUAAUCUCCAUACCUUUUUCCCAAAUUUUUGCAUACUUUUUUUUUACAUAUUUUGCUUACAGCUAUUUGCAUGUUUAUUGACAUCUUUUGUCUUAAUCUGAUUUUUUGUAAAGUUUGUUUCCUACCAAUUUUCCUAUUCUUAUUGCCACCCUAUUUGGGUAGUGGAGGCAAUGAUGUUUCCACUCUAAUUCACAUACCUUAUUUAUAAAUUGAAGAUACUUUAUUUACAUAUUUUUCUAUUUGAGUAAUGGAGACAAUGAUGAUUGUGCAUAAACAGGGGAAAAAAAGAUAGAGAGUAAGAUAUGUGCCAAUGAUGUUUUUGCUCUAAUUUCACAUGCCUUAUUUAUAAAUUUAAGAUACUUUAUUUACAUAUUUUUCUAUUUGAGUGAUGGAGGUAAUGAUGAUUGUGCAUAAACAAGGGAAAAAAAAGAUAGAAAGUAUGAUAUGUGGCAUGCUCUUAUCCUAUAAGUUUUUUCUUCUCCUGUGUGCUUACAAAAUAUAUUGAUUACUCUUUUUACAUGCUUUAUUUUUCUUACUUUAUUUGCAAUUUAAUUUGCAACUUUUUAUGUGUUUUGUUUGUAUCCUCUGGUGGCUAUGGUUUUUUUGUGCUUUAUUUUACAUCAAUAUUCCUACUGUUAUUAGCACUCCAUGGGAAUUAUGAGGCAGUGAUGAUUUUGUAUAAACAAAGAAGAAAAAUGCGAAAGAUAAAAUAUAAUACGUGGCUAUACUCUUCUCCUACAAUUUUUCCUUAUAUUUUCCCUCUUUUUCACCCUU